GUUCCACUAGAGGAAGCCAUGAAAAACAAAAACAAAAAAGAAAAAAACAGAGAGAAACAGAGAAGUAACGAGAUUGAUUGAUUAGUUAAUAAAAUGAGUGAAUUUGGAUAUGUGGGUAUUGUUGAAUAUUGGGGUUAAAUCAUGAAACGUAGUAUAAAAAGUAAAGGAAAACAACGGAGAAGGAUUGAACGAGGAAUGUGGAGUUAAGUAUAAUCAUACAACCAGAAGGGAGGAUGUGUUCAGUGAGAAUUAGAUGCAUGAAUUUCAAACAUCAAGAACAGAGUAUUGAACAUGAAGAAGAAGAAGAAGAAGA
Molecule: unclassified non-coding RNA, 313 nt
Filed under: Hevea brasiliensis (rubber tree)
Lineage: Eukaryota; Viridiplantae; Streptophyta; Magnoliopsida; Malpighiales; Euphorbiaceae
Source: RNAcentral